CUAGGGGCAGGUAGGUGGCAACAGUGGAUAGAGUACUGGACCUGAAGUCAUGAAGACUCAUCUUCCAGAGUUCAAAUCUGACCUCAGAUAUUUACUAGUUAUAUGAUCUUGGGCCAGUCACUUAACCCUGUUUGCCUCAGUUUCCUCAUCUGAAAAAACCACUCCAGUAUCUUGGUCAAAAAAACAAAAACAAAAAACACCACAAACCAAAUGGGAUCACAAAAAGUUGAACAUGAAAAAUUUGGCAUAUGUGUAGAAUAGGAAUGGGUAUGCUAUAAGAAAUAAUAAAUAUGAGAAAUUCAGAGAAUCAAAGGAAUAUUAUAUGAAUUAAUGCUGAGUGAUGAACCAGGAAGAAAAUAUGCAAAAUGAUUAUGUAAAUUUAAAAACCAAACUUUAUAUAAUUAUAACAGCUCCCUGAAGAAGAGAUGAAGGAAUUGAAACCCCCUCUGUGCAGAGUCUGGGGACUAUGGCUAAUCGAUGAUAUUGCAAACAGGAACAUCUAUCUGGAAGACUUUGCCAUCCACGAAGAAUUUCUCUUCCAUUUGAAAUCUGAGCCGGAUCUCUUCCACCAUGGUGCAGAAGGUCUUCACCAAGGGCAUGUGUCCCUGUUUUAUGCCUCUGCUGCGUAUGAUAAGAGAGUCAUUGAGACAGGUAUGAAAGGAAUGACAUUUGCUGUACAUAUGUCUUCUCGGAUGUCUCCUCAUUUCCAGCCUGGCUGCACUACUUUUUUCCUGCUUUGAUCUCUUCACCAUGAAGUCAUCACUGGGGAAUCCCAUCAUUUUAGAGUCCAGUCAUCCUUGUUUCUUUUUCUGGGUGCUGACUCUCCGGUGGGAGGGUGUCACCAUAAACACCUCCACAGAAGGGGAGGAAACGAGACAGAUCUAUG
This 886-nucleotide long non-coding RNA is filed under the name Monodelphis domestica (gray short-tailed opossum). RNAcentral's name for it is "lncRNA (ENSMODG00000046581.1)". Lineage: Eukaryota; Metazoa; Chordata; Mammalia; Didelphimorphia; Didelphidae. The record is from RNAcentral.